This is a long non-coding RNA of Macrobrachium nipponense, 424 nucleotides long. RefSeq lists it as uncharacterized. Lineage: Eukaryota; Metazoa; Arthropoda; Malacostraca; Decapoda; Palaemonidae. The record is from RefSeq and is a predicted model, not a curated record. The transcript has 3 exons.
UAAAAACUGAUAAGCUCGAGAACGAAGCGGUUGUUCGUAACAGAAAACUUUGGCAGAGCUACACCGGUUUCCCCGUCACUUAUCACUGAGCAGCCAUCAUGCAGUCAGGUCCGAUAAGAUUUUUAUUCCUUGGAAUAUCACUGAAUGUCCUGUUUUUCGCGAGAUGUGUAGAUUUGCAAUCUCUGCCUACAAAAGGUUUUCACAGCAACAUCGAGAUCGUCGAAGGACGCGAACUUAGGAUCACGCACAGUCAUGGCCAGGUAAACAUCGACUGGGGUCUCACUCUACCUGAAGGCGCCGAAGGAGUGAACUGCACCGAAGGGAACUUCUGCUAGACUUCGAUGUUGCUAAGGUAGUGAUCACACAAGAGGACCAUUGUCAAAAGGUCUCUUGGACGGCAAGAAAUCUCACUGAAUUGAAGGAC